Molecule: ribosomal RNA, 497 nt
Filed under: uncultured Fusibacter sp.
Lineage: Bacteria; Bacillati; Bacillota; Clostridia; Eubacteriales; Fusibacteraceae
Description: bacterial SSU rRNA
Rfam family: Bacterial small subunit ribosomal RNA
Source: RNAcentral
GCUCAGAAACUCAAAGGAAUUGACGGGGGCCCGCACAAGCGGUGGAGCAUGUGGUUUAAUUCGAUGCAACGCGAAGAACCUUACCUGGUCUGACAUCCCGGAGACCCUUAGGAAACUAGGGGGUGCUUCCAUCUGGAAGAAUCUGGAGACAGGUGGUGCAUGGUUGUCGUCAGCUCGUGUCGUGAGAUGUUGGGUUAAGUCCCGCAACGAGCGCAACCCUUGUGUUUAGUUGCAAACAGGUCAAGCUGUGCACUCUAGACAGACUGCCGUGGACAACACGGAGGAAGGUGGGGAUGACGUCAAAUCAUCAUGCCCCUUAUGAUCUGGGCUACACACGUGCUACAAUGGCCGGUACAACGGGCAGCGAAGGAGCGAUCCGGAGCGAAUCCUAAAAAGCCGGUCCCAGUUCGGAUUGCAGGCUGAAACUCGCCUACAUGAAGUUGGAGUUGCUAGUAAUCGCGAAUCAGAAUGUCGCGGUGAAUGCGUUCCCGGGUCUU